UUGAACGCUGGCGGCAUGCUUUACACAUGCAGGUCGAACGGUAACAGGGAGCUUGCUCCGCUGACGAGUGGCGAACGGGUGAGUAAUGCAUCGGAACGUACCCAGUCGUGGGGGAUAACGUAGCGAAAGUUACGCUAAUACCGCAUACGUCCUGAGGGAGAAAGCGGGGGACCGUAAGGCCUCGCGCGAUUGGAGCGGCCGAUGUCGGAUUAGCUAGUUGGUGGGGUAAAGGCCUACCAAGGCGACGAUCCGUAGCGGGUCUGAGAGGACGACCAGCCACACUGGGACUGAGACACGGCCCAGACUCCUACGGGAGGCAGCAGUGGGGAAUUUUGGACAAUGGGCGCAAGCCUGAUCCAGCAAUGCCGCGUGCAGGAAGAAGGCCUUCGGGUUGUAAACUGCUUUUGUACGGAACACAAAGGUCUGGGUUAAUACCCUGGGCUCAUGACGGUACCGUAAGAAUAAGCACCGGCUAACUACGU
This 482-nucleotide ribosomal RNA is filed under the name uncultured bacterium. RNAcentral's name for it is "bacterial SSU rRNA". It matches the Rfam family "Bacterial small subunit ribosomal RNA", at positions 30 to 506 of the family's 1533-position model. The record is from RNAcentral.